GAUGAACGCUGGCGGCGUGCCUAAUACAUGCAAGUCGAGCGAACGGACGAGAAGCUUUUUUUCCUGAUGUUAGCGGCGGACGGGCGAGUAAAACGUGGAUAACCUACCUAUAUGACUUGGAUAAUUUCGGGAAACCGCAGCUAAUACUGGCUAAUAUUUCGAACCGCAUGGUUCAAAAGUUAUAGACGGUCUUGCUGACUCUUAUAGAUGGAUUCGCGCUGCAUUAGCUAGUUGGUAAGGUAACGGCUUACCAAGGCAACGAUGCAUAGCCGACCUGAGAGGGUGAUCGGCCACACUGGAACUGAGACACGGUCCAGACUCCUACGGGAGGCAGCAGUAGGGAAUCUUCCGCAAUGGGCGAAAGCCUGACAGAGCAAAACCGCGUGAGUGAUGAAGGUCUUCGGAUCGUAAAGCUCUGUUGUUAGGGAAGAACAUAAGUGUGAGUAACUGUGCACAUCUUGACGGUACCUAAAGAAAAAGCAACGGCUAACUACGUG
This 497-nucleotide ribosomal RNA is filed under the name uncultured bacterium. RNAcentral describes it as "partial 16S ribosomal RNA". It matches the Rfam family "Bacterial small subunit ribosomal RNA", at positions 28 to 507 of the family's 1533-position model. The record is from RNAcentral.